Molecule: ribosomal RNA, 454 nt
Filed under: uncultured bacterium
Lineage: Bacteria
Description: bacterial SSU rRNA
Rfam family: Bacterial small subunit ribosomal RNA
Source: RNAcentral
GAACGGCAGCGGGGGAUAGCUUGCUAUCCCGCCGGCGAGUGGCGGACGGGUGAGUAAUGCCUGGGGAGCUGCCCAAUCGAGGGGGAUACCAGUUGGAAACGACUGCUAAUACCGCAUACGCCUCGAGGGGGAAAGAUGGGGAUCUUCGGACCUAUCGCGAUUGGAUGCACCCAGGUGGGAUUAGCUAGUUGGUGAGGUAACGGCUCACCAAGGCGACGAUCUCUAGCUGGUCUGAGAGGAUGACCAGCCACACUGGAACUGAGACACGGUCCAGACUCCUACGGGAGGCAGCAGUGGGGAAUAUUGCACAAUGGGGGAAACCCUGAUGCAGCCAUGCCGCGUGUGUGAAGAAGGCCUUCGGGUUGUAAAGCACUUUCAGUGGGGAGGAAAGGGGUAAUGCUAAUACCAUUGCCCUGUGACGUUACCCACAGAAGAAGCACCGGCUAACUCCGUG